UAGGGAAUAUUGCAAAAUGGGCGAAAGCCCGAUGCAGCAACGCCGCGUGGGCGAUGAAGGCCUUCGGGUCGUAAAGCCCUUUUUGAGGGGAUGAGGAAGGACAGUACCCUCAGAAUAAGCCUCGGCUAACUACGUGCCAGCAGCCGCGGUAAAACGUAGGAGGCGAGCGUUAUCCGGAUUUUACUGGGCGUAAAGCGCGUGCAGGCGGAUUGGAGAGUUGGAUGUGAAAGCUCCCGACUUAACUGGGAGAGGUCGUUCAAUACUUCCAGUCUUGAGUGCAGUAGAGGGAAGUGGAAUUCCGGGUGUAGUGGUGAAAUGCGUAGAUAUCCGGAGGAACACCAGUGGCGAAAGCGGCUUCCUGGACUGUAACUGACGCUCAGACGCGAAAGCUAGGGUAGCAAACG
RNAcentral lists this ribosomal RNA (404 nucleotides) under uncultured bacterium. Its description in RNAcentral is "bacterial SSU rRNA". It matches the Rfam family "Bacterial small subunit ribosomal RNA", at positions 355 to 774 of the family's 1533-position model. The record is from RNAcentral.